GAUGAAGAACGUAGCGAAAUGCGAUAAGUAAUGUGAAUUGCAGAAUUCAGUGAAUCAUCGAAUCUUUGAACGCACCUUGCACCCUUUGGUAUUCCGAAGGGUAUGCUCGUUUGAGUGUCAUUGUACUCUCACACUUCUAAUUCCUUUCGGGAUUGGGAGCGGUGGACUUGGGUGUUGCUGCUUUAGUUGUGGCUCACCUCAAAUAAGUUAGUGCAACUCUUGGGUGGACAUAGUACGGCGUGAUAAGUGUCUUCGCCGGCGCCUCUGUAAGGAGGGUGGCCGAUCGGGAGCUCUGUGCUUCAAACCGUCUUCGGACAAUCUUUGACAACUUGACCUCAAAUCGAGUAGGACUACCCGCUGAACUUAAGCAUAUCAAUAAGCGGAGGA
Molecule: unclassified non-coding RNA, 387 nt
Filed under: soil metagenome
Description: partial contains 5.8S ribosomal RNA, internal transcribed spacer 2, and large subunit ribosomal RNA
Rfam family: 5.8S ribosomal RNA (bases 1-120)
Source: RNAcentral